GCGCCGUUGCUGGGGAGUCCGGAAGCGGCGCUGACAGGACGGCGCGCGGAGGCGCUGCCGGCCGAGGCGGCCGCUUCCCGGCCCAGCUCGGUCGGGCUCAGCCCAGCCCGUGGCGGUUGCGGGCCGCCCCGCCCCGGCCGCCGAGAGAGAAGCAGAAGUUUUAACCAUCUUCCCAUGACAUCUGACUUUUUUGAGGAGGAGAAUACACCCGGGAGCAGAAACAGCGAGGUCCGUGAUGGGGAAAAUGAAUCCAGCAGUCCGUCAUAGCUGGUACCUGCCUGAGUACAGGAAGAGACCUUGUACAAAGACAGAAUGCAUCUGGGCUUGCAGCUCUUUUUCACCGUAUUAAGUCCUAUUCAGAGUUAAUAAUGAGCUCAGUGAGACUGGCCUAAGCAGUGCUGAAGUAGGGAAGAACAGAGUUGGAAGGCAGGAACUCUUUCAAAGCAGGAUUCUUCUUCUUUCCGUAACACCCAAACACAAAGACUUUAUAAACUUCAUUAGGUCCUGCCAUCAAUGACUGAGCCUCCCUGAAAUCUUCUUAGCAGUUACUGCCGAGAUGAGAAGGAUAACAGGAAGGAGGAGUGCUUAAGUGGUUUUAAUGACAGUUAAUUUCAUCUAUUUAUCAAAUGACAGGUUGUUUUUUCCUCAAAACUCGAUUGUCAUGACAAGAUGCUUUUGGAAGUCAUCUUUGUAAAAUAAAACUGACAAUUUUUAGGC
Grus americana (Whooping crane) is the source of this 717-nucleotide long non-coding RNA. RefSeq lists it as uncharacterized. The transcript is spliced from 5 exons. NCBI's taxonomy places the organism in Eukaryota, Metazoa, Chordata, Aves, Gruiformes, Gruidae. The record is from RefSeq and is a predicted model, not a curated record.